This 731-nucleotide long non-coding RNA is filed under the name Parus major (Great Tit). RNAcentral's name for it is "lncRNA (ENSPMJG00000015009.1)". Lineage: Eukaryota; Metazoa; Chordata; Aves; Passeriformes; Paridae. The record is from RNAcentral.
GGCGAGGGGCGGGCCGGGGGCGGCGCUGCCUCCGCGGCCGUGCGGGACGGCGGCGGGGCCGGGGCUGGAGCCGCGCCGGGGAGCGGGGACCAAGAGCGGAGCUGCCCCAGCGGGGCGGCUGCGGGGAGGGAGGUGCCGGGCUGCCGGUUGUGCCUGAACCGGAGCAUCCCGAGCCGGAGCGUCCCGAGCCGCAGCAUCCCGAGCCUGAGCAUCCCGGCGGCGUCGGUCGUCUGCUUUUCGAGGGAGGUCAAGGCUGCGGGUGUGGGGUGUUUUCUUCCUCCCCUGCCCCUCGGCCGGUGCGCGUUGUUGGUGCUCUCGGUGCGAGGCGGCCGAGCCGCCCGGUGGCCGAGCGCUGCUGCUCGCUGUUCCCGGCGCCGGGGCCGCUCGCUCCCGCUGUCCGGCGCCGAGCCGAGCCGCGCCAGCUGAGGCGGGUCCCGCCGCGUCCCCGGAGGCUUUGGGAAGCUGCUGAGCGGCCUGGAACAGCUCCCGCCGUGCCUCGUCCGUGGUGCUGCUCCGAGGGAGCAUCCUCAGCGGUUUGCCCGUCCUGUGCUGUAAUACCAAGGGCAUUUGAUUUUCACAAGCGUUUAAGCGAGGGGCUUUUCUCAGCAUGCAGUUGCUUUAGAUUUGGGCGUGAUCACCAGCCACAUCCUCCGCAUUGGACAUUCAGCUUCUAUUUCCAAACCUUCUUCCUGCUUUUCUGAAGAAUAAAAUCUUAAAUUGUCCUGGGCUCA